Molecule: unclassified non-coding RNA, 349 nt
Filed under: soil metagenome
Description: partial contains 5.8S ribosomal RNA, internal transcribed spacer 2, and large subunit ribosomal RNA
Rfam family: 5.8S ribosomal RNA (bases 1-120)
Source: RNAcentral
GAUGAAGAACGUAGCGAAAUGCGAUACGUAAUGUGAAUUGCAGAAUUCAGUGAAUCAUCGAGUCUUUGAACGCACAUUGCGCCCCCUGGUAUUCCGGGGGGCAUGCCUGUCCGAGCGUCAUUGCUGCCCUCAAGCACGGCUUGUGUGUUGGGCCUCCGCCCCCCGGCUCCCGGGGGGCGGGCCCGAAAGGCAGCGGCGGCACCGCGUCCGGUCCUCGAGCGUAUGGGGCUUCGUCACCCGCUCCGUAGGCCCGGCCGGCGCCCGACGGCGACCCCCCUCAAUCUUUCCAGGUUGACCUCGGAUCAGGUAGGGAUACCCGCUGAACUUAAGCAUAUCAAUAAGCGGAGGA